RNAcentral lists this transfer RNA (65 nucleotides) under Bacteroidales bacterium. RNAcentral's name for it is "tRNA-OTHER". The record is from RNAcentral. Lineage: Bacteria; Pseudomonadati; Bacteroidota; Bacteroidia; Bacteroidales.
AUAAAAAUGGUGGUAAUAAUAAUAUGCUUUGGGAGCAGGGGGCGCAGGUUCGAAUCCUGCUUUUU